CGUCCAUGUGUGGACUAUUCUCUGGUAAGAGUUCGUCCCGGAUGACGCUAAUAAAAACGCAUUGUGGUUCAGUUAUUUCUACACAGCGUGCGGCUCCCACGUUCCCAUACUGCGGCUGUCUGGAGGACCGACAUUUGGAACCCCCUUUCUGGCGGAAUAUUUAAUUUUAUGUUUUCCAUAUUAUAGUUAAAUUUUUGCAGAUCUAACCUCGCCAAGGGAGCGUUUGCGACCCCCAGAAUCAUGACCCUUCGAGAACAAAGCAUGUCUAGUCUUUCUUUAUCUGUAGAUACAGCCGUUCUCGAAGGUAAAUGUGAAAGAAUUUUUAAGACUGGCCUAUAAAUGAACGAUGACGAUUGAACGGCGUUUCCAGUGAUUUCCGUUUGACAUCACAUUUUUGCUUUCAAUGUAUAUGUACGUAAUAAGAAAAUUAUGACGUUGCAAGUUAAAAUUAUCGAAGUUAAAAUAUCCAGCGUAAUAUAUUAAUUAUAUUAGUGACAAUUCGUUAUCUUAAUUUUCUUCUUUCCGUUUUAAGUUCGUUUGCAGAUUUAAAUAGCAAUUAUUCAAUAGUUUCUUUUUUUUUUCUUCUAUAAAACUAAACUAGAUUAUCGUAAACUUAACGCAUGAACAGGGAAGGUUAUCAAACUUGGAUAAACAAUUACAUUUGCGCCGUUCUUGCCACGUGAAGAUGACUUGAAAUUAGAUUAUUUGUCGUGUACUAGCGAUACGACAAUUAUUAUAAGCAUAAUAAAUAAAAUUGUAUUUAUACUUUACUCGUACACGGAGUAUUCCUUCAUUAUUUUUUUUUUUUUUUUUUACAUGUUUAACAUCUAUAGCGCAGUAUUCCACCUCGCACAUCUAUGUACUCUCUCGCUUAUUUUCGCUUAUCUGGGUACACGUAUAUAUAUAUGUAUAUGUAUUUUUUUUUUUUUUGUUAGCAUUAUUGAAAAAUAAAAUAUACAUAUAUACAUGUGAAAUCUUAAAAUACAUGAGAAUAAGGCAAAAACGGCGCAGUGAUCAGAAUAAAAAGCGAACAUUACUACUUAGCCGAUAAUAUUCGAGGGCACAUAAUGCUCGAAUUUAAAUUCACACUCCGCUUGGUAGGGUACGCAUUUGUAAUACGCUAGCGUAUAUACGUGUUUCCUAUAUACGUAUAUACGUAUGUGUGCGUAUGCCGCGUCCUAUGUAUGUGUACGUAUACGCACGCAUACAUAUAUACAUUAUACAUAUAUAUAUAUAUAUAUAUCGAAUUGACCGUACUUUAUGCGCAAUUUAUACGUAUAGGAACUGACGAAUUCUUUCGAAAUAAUACGAAAGGACAUGGUAUACAAGUGGAGUGUGCUAUAAUUCCUAUACAUUCUUCAAAAGUACGUCAUUUCUCUUUCCCUCUCCCUCGCUCUUUCUCUCUUCCCCAUCUUCUUCUAAUGGUGAACGUUUUUUUUUUUUUCUUUUCUCUUCAAAUGUACACAAUAAAUUGGCUUAAAUUCGUAUAUAAAUAAUUACUCGUUCAAUUUAUAAGAAACACAUUGGUAAUGCUGUAUACGAAAUAAUUCGAUUGAUUUAAUGCGGUGUAAAUUUCUUUGAUCAGCGCAUCAAGCGUACAAAUGUACAGCAAUACAAAUGUUUCGGUUCGUUAUCGGCGCGUGUAUCGUUCGUGUGUAGGCUUUUGCUGACGCCAAGUGUUUUUUAACGUGCCUGUGAAUUCUCGCUUAGAUCGAUGUUUGAAUUGAAUCGCGCGAAUUAUGGAUUUCGAUGCGAACUACGCGCGUCGGAAUAACCGAGGAACGUAGAUGAGCAUUGAAGUUAACAAGAGGGGACUAGCGUUUGAAAAAUCGCAUUUUCGUUUCUCGAUUAACGAUGCCUUUUUCUUUUUUUCUUUCUUUUUUUAACCAACGCGUUGGUAACGUGUCUAUUACUGGAUACAUAGGUAUUCACAGAGCACAAAGAGUACUUGGCUAUAACAAACAUUUUAUUCAACUAUCAUUGUAUCAGAUAUAAACGAACAUUUUUAUCAUCGUUAAAAGUACUAAACCGAGCGGCCUAAAGGUACAUGUAUAAGUGUGAGCACGUGCUUUAUGUAUGUGUGUAUGUGUGUGUGUAUGUAUGUAAUGUGUGGAUGCAAAUACACGUGGUUUUUGCUUCGUAUAUCGUCUUAAUUACGAUAUCUUGUAUAGUAACGGACGAUCUUCCAAGUGGCAUAACAUGAUCUAAUCGUAUCUUUACGCGUUUACGAAUUUCCCGUGACCAUGGCGUUUGGUAGUAGCGUCAAUGAAACACGGUUAAUCAUAAAUCACAAGAUGGAAAAAAGGCAACAUACAAAUAUUUCAAUGGCACACGUACACCGGCCAAUAUGGACGGAGCACGUACUCUGAUCUGAUAGAUUAUUUCAUUCUGCCAUUCUACACAGCUUCGUUUCUAAACCAUUCGCAGUUAUACUACAGUCAACGAACACAUAAAUUAAUAUUUUUUUUUUUUCGUCUAUAGCCGUUCGACUUGAAUCA
Long non-coding RNA from Osmia bicornis bicornis, 2498 nucleotides. RefSeq lists it as uncharacterized. The transcript is spliced from 2 exons. NCBI's taxonomy places the organism in Eukaryota, Metazoa, Arthropoda, Insecta, Hymenoptera, Megachilidae. The record is from RefSeq and is a predicted model, not a curated record.